RNAcentral lists this ribosomal RNA (143 nucleotides) under Phlebia acerina. Its description in RNAcentral is "partial 25S ribosomal RNA". It matches the Rfam family "Eukaryotic large subunit ribosomal RNA", at positions 1 to 139 of the family's 3401-position model. The record is from RNAcentral. Lineage: Eukaryota; Fungi; Basidiomycota; Agaricomycetes; Polyporales; Meruliaceae.
UCUGACCUCAAAUCAGGUAGGACUACCCGCUGAACUUAAGCAUAUCAAUAAGCGGAGGAAAAGAAACUAACAAGGAUUCCCCUAGUAACUGCGAGUGAAGCGGGAAAAGCUCAAAUUUAAAAUCUGGCGGUCUUCGAUCGUCC